Molecule: unclassified non-coding RNA, 296 nt
Organism: Ochotona princeps (American pika)
Lineage: Eukaryota; Metazoa; Chordata; Mammalia; Lagomorpha; Ochotonidae
Gene: 7SK
Rfam family: 7SK RNA
About the family: 7SK was discovered as an abundant small nuclear RNA in the mid-70s but a possible function has only recently been suggested. Two independent studies have found that 7SK RNA binds the CDK9/cyclin T complex (known as elongation factor P-TEFb).
Source: Ensembl
GGAUGUGAGGGUGAUCUGGCUGCGACAUCUGUCACUCCAUUGAUCGCCAGGGUUGAUUUGGCUGAUCUGGCUGGCUAGGCGGUUGUCUCCUUCCUCCCUCACCGCUCCAUGUGCGUCGCUCCUGAAGCUGCGUACUCAGUCGAAGAGGAUGACUAUCCCCGCUAGAGGAGGACCGGUCUUCGGUCAGGAGUAUAUGAGUAGCUGCGCUCCCCUGCUAGAACCUCCAAACAAGUUCUCAAAUAGAUUAAAUAUUUUUAAAAAGGAAGGAAGGAGGAAAGAAGGAAGGAAAGAAAGAG